GGGACACUGUCAGGCGGGCAGUUUGACUGGGGCGGUCGCCUCCCAAAAGGUAACGGAGGCGCUCAAAGGUUCUCUCAGUACGGUCGGAAAUCGUACGUAGAGGGUAAAGGCAAAAGAGAGCUUGAUUGCAAGACAUACAGGUCGAGCAAGGAUGAAAAUCGGACUUAGUGAUCCGGUGGUUCUGCGUGGAAGGGCCAUCGCUCAACGGAUAAAAGCU
RNAcentral lists this ribosomal RNA (217 nucleotides) under Clostridioides difficile. RNAcentral's name for it is "partial 23S ribosomal RNA". It matches the Rfam family "Bacterial large subunit ribosomal RNA", at positions 2248 to 2464 of the family's 2925-position model. The record is from RNAcentral. Lineage: Bacteria; Bacillati; Bacillota; Clostridia; Peptostreptococcales; Peptostreptococcaceae.